CGAACGGUAACAGGAAGCAGCUUGCUGCUUUGCUGACGAGUGGCGGACGGGUGAGUAAUGUCUGGGAAACUGCCUGAUGGAGGGGGAUAACUACUGGAAACGGUAGCUAAUACCGCAUAACGUCGCAAGACCAAAGAGGGGGACCUUCGGGCCUCUUGCCAUCGGAUGUGCCCAGAUGGGAUUAGCUAGUAGGUGGGGUAACGGCUCACCUAGGCGACGAUCCCUAGCUGGUCUGAGAGGAUGACCAGCCACACUGGAACUGAGACACGGUCCAGACUCCUACGGGAGGCAGCAGUGGGGAAUAUUGCACAAUGGGCGCAAGCCUGAUGCAGCCAUGCCGCGUGUAUGAAGAAGGCCUUCGGGUUGUAAAGUACUUUCAGCGGGGAGGAAGGUGUUGAGGUUAAUAACCUCAGCAAUUGACGUUACCCGCAGAAGAAGCACCGGCUAACUCCGUGCCAGCAGCCGCGGUAAUACGGAGGGUGCAAGCGUUAAUCGGAAUUACUGGGCGUAAAGCGCACGCAGGCGGUCUGUCAAGUCGGAUGUGAAAUCCCCGGGCUCAACCUGGGAACUGCAUUCGAAACUGGCAGGCUAGAGUCUUGUAGAGGGGGUAGAAUUCCAGGUGUAGCGGUGAAAUGCGUAGAGAUCUGGA
This 649-nucleotide ribosomal RNA is filed under the name uncultured Pseudomonadota bacterium. Its description in RNAcentral is "bacterial SSU rRNA". It matches the Rfam family "Bacterial small subunit ribosomal RNA", at positions 63 to 702 of the family's 1533-position model. Lineage: Bacteria; Pseudomonadati; Pseudomonadota. The record is from RNAcentral.